Long non-coding RNA from Xenopus laevis (African clawed frog), 275 nucleotides. RefSeq lists it as uncharacterized. Lineage: Eukaryota; Metazoa; Chordata; Amphibia; Anura; Pipidae. The record is from RefSeq and is a predicted model, not a curated record. The transcript is spliced from 4 exons.
AGAAAAGAAAAGAUAAACAUCCAACCAAAGAAACUGUUGUGGAAUUAAAACCAGAGGAAGAACUGGAGCCGGCGAUAACCAUCUGCCAGGAGACAACACAGAAAUCAGGCAAUGACACCUGCCAGCCUGAACUUGAAAACCAGCAAGAGAAUGCUGAAGUAAAUGAAGAAAACCUCAGAGACAUCGAUGAGGAGACAACGCAGAAAUCAGGCAAUGACACCUGCCAGCCUGAACUCGAAAACCAGCAAGAGAGUGCUGAAGUAAACGAGGAAAAC